This 497-nucleotide ribosomal RNA is filed under the name uncultured bacterium. RNAcentral describes it as "partial 16S ribosomal RNA". It matches the Rfam family "Bacterial small subunit ribosomal RNA", at positions 28 to 507 of the family's 1533-position model. The record is from RNAcentral.
GAUGAACGCUGGCGGCGUGCCUAAUACAUGCAAGUCGAGCGAACGGACGAGAAGCUUGCUUCUCUGAUGUUAGCGGCGGACGGGUGAGUAACACGUGGAUAACCUACCUAUAAGACUGGGAUAACUUCGGGAAACCGGAGCUAAUACCGGAUAAUAUUUUGAACCGCAUGGUUCAAAAGUGAAAGACGGUCUUGCUGUCACUUAUAGAUGGAUCCGCGCUGCAUUAGCUAGUUGGUAAGGUAACGGCCUACCAAGGCAACGAUGCAUAGCCGACCUCAUAGGGUGAUCGGCCGCCCUGGAGCUUAAACGCGGUCCAUAGGCCUGAGAGAGGGAGCAGUAUGGAAUCGGCCGCAGUGGGCGGAAGCCUGGCGCAGCAACGGCGCGUCUGUGGUGAAGAUCUUCCGUGCGUAAAACCCGGUUAUGGGGGGUAAACAUAUUUGGACUGAGCUGUGCACAUCGUGACGGUACCUAGUCAGAAAGCCACGGCUAACUACGUG